CCCCUAGAUGUUCUGGGCCGCACGCGCGCUACACUGAACAGUUCAACAAGUCUUAACCUUGGCCGAUAGGUCUGGGUAAUCUUUGAACGCUGUUCGUGAUUGGGAUAGACCUUUGCAAUUAUGGGUCUUCAACGAGGAAUUCCUAGUAAACGCAAGUCAUCAGCUUGCAUUGAUUACGUCCCUGCCCGUUGUACACACCGCCCGUCGCACCUACCGAUUGAAUGGUCCGGUGAAAUCUCGGGACGGCGGCUCGGUCGCUUGCGUCCGACUGCUGAAACUUGAUUAAACCAUAUCAUUUAGAGGAAGGUGAAGUCGUAACA
This 320-nucleotide ribosomal RNA is filed under the name uncultured eukaryote. RNAcentral's name for it is "partial 18S ribosomal RNA". It matches the Rfam family "Eukaryotic small subunit ribosomal RNA", at positions 1470 to 1796 of the family's 1831-position model. The record is from RNAcentral.